GUCUGGUGGGUAGUUUGACUGGGGCGGUCUCCUCCUAAAGAGUAACGGAGGAGCACGAAGGUUGGCUAAUCCUGGUCGGACAUCAGGAGGUUAGUGCAAUGGCAUAAGCCAGCUUGACUGCGAGCGUGACGGCGCGAGCAGGUGCGAAAGCAGGUCAUAGUGAUCCGGUGGUUCUGAAUGGAAGGGCCAUCGCUCAACGGAUAAAAGGUACUCCGGGGAUAACAGGCUGAUACCGCCCAAGAGUUCAUAUCGACGGCGGUGUUUGGCACCUCGAUGUCGGCUCAUCACAUCCUGGGGCUGAAGUAGGUCCCAAGGGUAUGGCUGUUCGCCAUUUAAAGUGGUACGCGAGCUGGGUUUAGAACGUCGUGAGACAGUUCGGUCCCUAUCUGCCGUGGGCGCUGGAGAACUGAGGGGGGCUGCUCCUAGUACGAGAGGACCGGAGUGGACGCAUCACUGGUGUU
Molecule: ribosomal RNA, 461 nt
Filed under: Escherichia coli
Lineage: Bacteria; Pseudomonadati; Pseudomonadota; Gammaproteobacteria; Enterobacterales; Enterobacteriaceae
Description: partial 23S ribosomal RNA
Rfam family: Bacterial large subunit ribosomal RNA
Source: RNAcentral